AUACGGAGGAUCCGAGCGUUAUCCGGACUUAUUGGGUUUAAAGGGUGCGCAGGCGGCCAUUUAAGUCAGCGGUUAAAUCGUGGGGCUCAACCCCAUUCUGCCGUUGAUACUGGGUGGCUUGAUUGCGGUCGAGGUUGGCGGAAUUCGUUGUGUAGCGGUGAAAUGCAUAGAUAUGACGAAGAACACCGAUUGCGUAGGCAGCUGUCCAGACCGCAAAUGACGCGCAUGCACGAAAGUGCGGGGAUCGAACAGGAUUAGAUACCCUGGUAGUCCGCACAGUAAACGAUGAAUACUUGUUUUCGGCGAUAUAAUGUCGGAGGCAAAGCGAAAGCGAUAAGUAUUCCACCUGGGGAGUACGCCGGCAACGGUGAAACUCAAAGGAAUUGACGGGG
Molecule: ribosomal RNA, 392 nt
Filed under: uncultured bacterium
Lineage: Bacteria
Description: partial 16S ribosomal RNA
Rfam family: Bacterial small subunit ribosomal RNA
Source: RNAcentral